RNAcentral lists this ribosomal RNA (425 nucleotides) under Edwardsiella ictaluri. RNAcentral's name for it is "bacterial SSU rRNA". It matches the Rfam family "Bacterial small subunit ribosomal RNA", at positions 66 to 477 of the family's 1533-position model. Lineage: Bacteria; Pseudomonadati; Pseudomonadota; Gammaproteobacteria; Enterobacterales; Hafniaceae. The record is from RNAcentral.
GCGGUAGCAGGGAGAAAGCUUGCUUUCUCCGCUGACGAGCGGCGGACGGGUGAGUAAUGUCUGGGGAUCUGCCUGAUGGAGGGGGAUAACUACUGGAAACGGUAGCUAAUACCGCAUAACGUCGCAAGACCAAAGUGGGGGACCUUCGGGCCUCAUGCCAUCAGAUGAACCCAGAUGGGAUUAGCUAGUAGGUGGGGUAAUGGCUCACCUAGGCGACGAUCCCUAGCUGGUCUGAGAGGAUGACCAGCCACACUGGAACUGAGACACGGUCCAGACUCCUACGGGAGGCAGCAGUGGGGAAUAUUGCACAAUGGGCGCAAGCCUGAUGCAGCCAUGCCGCGUGUAUGAAGAAGGCCUUCGGGUUGUACAAGUACUUUCAGUAGGGAGGAAGGUGUGAGCGUUAAUAGCGUUCACAAUUGACGUUA